Molecule: long non-coding RNA, 505 nt
Organism: Drosophila virilis
Lineage: Eukaryota; Metazoa; Arthropoda; Insecta; Diptera; Drosophilidae
Source: RefSeq, a predicted model, not a curated record
CUUGAGCUUAGUACGGAGCUUAGUGUGAAUAGCCGAACAAUAAUUGUAUUGUUGUUAAUAAUGCGAUUAUUAGAAACAAAUGUUUUAUAAUCAGCAAGAUGCUCAGAAAAUUUCGCGUUGAUUUUUCUGUCUCUGAGAUAGUCAGUGAGUAUCGAAUAACACAAAUAUUUUAUACGGCGUACUAUCAUUAGUAGAAAAAUAGAACAAAAGCCAUACAAUUGAAGAAAAACCUCUGGAACGCCGUGAAGAACUUGAGCGCACAUCCACACAACACAAGCAUACAUACAUAUGUAUGCUUGUAGAUCUCGGGGUUUUGUGGGAAGCUAUGCAGCGCGAAAGAGAUGGACACAAGUGCGCAAUGAAAUGAGUGACAGCGAGGCACACUCUUCACAUUGGUACACACAUAAGUAAUUGGGCCGUAAGGAAUUCAUAUAACAACAUAUAUUAAGAAAAGCAUCAUCAAUGACGGUAGUUGUGCAUAUAGAGCACGAUUUAUCAAUCAUAU